This 238-nucleotide ribosomal RNA is filed under the name uncultured bacterium. RNAcentral describes it as "partial 16S ribosomal RNA". It matches the Rfam family "Bacterial small subunit ribosomal RNA", at positions 100 to 334 of the family's 1533-position model. The record is from RNAcentral.
CGGAACGGGUGAGUAACGCGUGAGGAACCUGCCUCAAAGAGGGGGACAACAGUUGGAAACGACUGCUAAUACCGCAUAAGCCCACGGGUCGGCAUCGACCAGAGGGAAAAGGAGCAAUCCGCUUUGAGAUGGCCUCGCGUCCGAUUAGCUAGUUGGUGAGGUAACGGCCCACCAAGGCGACGAUCGGUAGCCGGACUGAGAGGUUGAACGGCCACAUUGGGACUGAGACACGGCCCAG